Salvelinus namaycush (lake trout) is the source of this 2410-nucleotide long non-coding RNA. RefSeq lists it as uncharacterized. Lineage: Eukaryota; Metazoa; Chordata; Actinopteri; Salmoniformes; Salmonidae. The record is from RefSeq and is a predicted model, not a curated record. The transcript is spliced from 9 exons.
UGUUCGCCUCAUAGCAGAUUUGCAUGUAGAGGGAGCCAGGGAAUACACAGCUCUGACACAGAUAGGUGUGUAAAGUUCAGUGGGGCUGGGCUCAGGUUUAACUGUUAAACGUGACUGUAAAUGGCACACUUUGCUUCUAUUACUCCUGAGAGAAGAAUGGACUCUAUCACGAUUCCUGUUGUCACAGAAGCAUUCCUUUGGGGACAGAUGAGUCUAUGACAUUAUCAACCCUGGACCUUUGACCUGUGGGCCAAAGGAAGAGGGCUGGUUCGCCCCUGAGGUGACUGUCAAUGACGUAGGCCAGGUGGACGACCCCAGGGACCCCUGGAGAAGCCCAGUGGAGGACCCUCAGGGUCAGCCUCCACCCCCGCCCAGAGCCCCUUCCCUGCCUGGGCCACAUCAUCAAGACAUGUCCCCCCACACCCCUGAUCGCCUGAUGAAAGACCCCCAUCCUGACAACCUCAGGUUACCCCUACUGAGAAAAGGCUCAGUGGACUGAGGAUGAGGACUUCUCUUUAUCUGGGCUUCUCCAGCGGGAAGUGGAGGGCUUCGCUGGUCCUUCUAGCUGGCCACGACCUUGGGACUGUUCCCUUAAAGGAGCAGAACACGUAGAAGCCCCUCUUCCUCUCACGUCUGACUUAAACAACAUCCACUGUGUCCCUCCAAGUCACCAAGCACACAUGCCUCCUCAGUGCCCAGAUCCGGUGCACAGCAGGUGUCAGAGACGGUACACAUGUCAGCAGCCCAUAAAUCAAACGUGUCUCCUCUAUAAUCAUCAUUAUAACCAUCUUCACCCUACGGAACCUCAGCAGGACCCUCGCCAGUGCCCACUGUCCUGGACUCCCACGGCUCAAACAGACUAUAUGGACAAGAAGCUCUAAAAGCCUCCAGUCUAAAUCUUCCUCAGUGUGUCGCCCCUCCCAGACAGGUGAUGAGGGAGGUCAGUGUGGUGCCCUCCUACCCAGCGACCCCUGGCCAACCAGAUGGGGGAGGAACAGCUACACAGGAACUGAGGAAGACCAUCAGUCUAUCUGAGGAGUGCAGUAAUUACGUAUCAAUGUCCAUCCCUCAGCAAAACCAAGAUCAUUCAUUUUUAGACAUUAAAGAUCAUUGUUCAUUAAACAGUGGACUUUCGGUGAAUCAGAAGUGAUUGUGUCACCCUAUGAUUUGGCUUUUAAGAAUUCAAUAUUAGUACUUAUAACAUCCUCAAAAACGUGCUGUAAAUAUUUGUCUGAGCACAAUUAGCGUCCAUGUGGUACAAUGCUUUGUUUGAUCGCAGGAAAUGUGUUCAUUACAUAUUCUGUGGACACAGCCAGUAAGAUCUUUACCUUUGUGAAGUUUCUGACAGAUCAGGGCUUUAAACCAGCUGCAAGUUUUCCAUUUUAUUUUAUUCACCCACUCUUUGAAAUACUACUAUUCAAACAUACUUCCUCUCUCUGGCAGAUUGACAUCUUUGAUAGCACGGUUAGAAGAAUGGACAUCAACAAGUGGACGGACAGCUAUUUAAAGGAUGAGGUGCCGUGUUGCAGAAGUCAGUGGUGAUCAUCGUGGUCAUCAGUCCCAAGUCAAGGCAGACGUGGAAAGAGAUGGAGAGGAUGAGCAUGGUCUCCACACAAAGUUCAGGUUCAACCUGUCACUGUGCCAAAACAGCGACUUGUCAGUGAAGAGCACUUUUUGCCAGUCCUGUCUGGUCCAGCGACGGUGGGUUUGUGCCCAUAGGCGACGUUGUUGCCGUUGAUGUCUGAUCCAGAAUGAGUUCAUCCAACAGCGCUGCCUUCAUUUAAGACUGGUACCGGUAUUGUUUCCCACCUCUACGAAGAGAUAUGUCCCUGCCUGGCUUCAGAGCACCAGGAUAUACCACUGGCCCCAGGAUACCCAAGACCUACUUCUCCGUCUGCUAUUAGAGGAACGCUACAUUGGCCCGGCCCCCUCUGGGGAAAGAGCUGACCCUCUCCGUACGACACCUCUGACAUCUCUGAGAACUGCUGAAGACACAUUGUGUUGUGGUGCUUCAUAGAUUUCAAUGUUUAUAUGGACAUUUAGUAAAGGCUUUAAAAAAAAUUUUAACUGAAAUUGUGUGGGUGUUAAGUGGUGUAUCUCAGCACUACUCUUAAAUAGCCACAAGGUGGCAGUAUUUACUUUCUAAUGUUUCAAGUCCUAGACAUUUGCUUGCUAAGGUGGUAAUGGGUUACUCCUGACAUUGUGUGGCGACUGUGGUCCUAAUAAUAUGUGAUAUGAAGAAGUAUUCAAUUAAUAAAUGAAAGUAAUAAUAGCCUGUUGACUGUGAGGUUGUUGAAUUGCCAUGCUAAACAUUUUUACAUUGUAGCCUAUACUACAUAGUUACUACGGUAUUACCCAGUACAACAUCAAGGUCUCACAUUUUUGUGGGUAAUACCAGAUAAGUAGAACA